CGCGUGUGUGAAGAAGGCUUUCGGGUUGUAAAGCACUUUCAGCGAGGAAGAAAGCCUCUGGAUUAAUACCCCAGAGGAAGGACAUCACUCGCAGAAGAAGCACCGGCUAACUCCGUGCCAGCAGCCGCGGUAAUACGGAGGGUGCGAGCGUUAAUCGGAAUUACUGGGCGUAAAGCGCGCGUAGGUGGCUUGGCACGCCGGUUGUGAAAGCCCCGGGCUCAACCUGGGAACGGCAUCCGGAACGGCCAGGCUAGAGUGCAGGAGAGGAAGGUAGAAUUCCCGGUGUAGCGGUGAAAUGCGUAGAGAUCGGGAGGAAUACCAGUGGCGAAGGCGGCCUUCUGGCCUGACACUGACACUGAGGUGCGAAAGCGUGGGUAGCAAACAGGAUUAGAUACCCUGGUAGUCCACGCCGUAAACGAUGUCGACUAGCCGUUGGGACCUUUAAGGACUUAGUGGCGCAGUUAACGCGAUAAGUCGACCGCCUGGGGAGUACGGCCGCAAGGUUAAAACUCAAAUGAAUUGACGGGGGCCCGCACAAGCGGUGGAGCAUGUGGUUUAAUUCGAUGCAACGCGAAGAACCUUACCUACCCUUGACAUCCAGAGAAGUUGGCAGAGAUGCCUUCGUGCCUUCGGGAACUCUGAGACAGGUGCUGCAUGGCUGUCGUCAGCUCGUGUUGUGAAAUGUUGGGUUAAGUCCCGUAACGAGCGCAACCC
RNAcentral lists this ribosomal RNA (714 nucleotides) under Halomonas sp. D17-7A. RNAcentral describes it as "bacterial SSU rRNA". It matches the Rfam family "Bacterial small subunit ribosomal RNA", at positions 398 to 1104 of the family's 1533-position model. RNAcentral also lists the same sequence under 1 other name. The record is from RNAcentral. Lineage: Bacteria; Pseudomonadati; Pseudomonadota; Gammaproteobacteria; Oceanospirillales; Halomonadaceae.